GCUGGUGCUUGCGUGGCCACAUUUGGUGGCGGGGAUGGAAGGUGCUGGUGGAGGGGGCCUCCGUGGUCGUCCGCCGGGCGCCCUAAUGAAGCAUCACAGGCUGGACGGCUCCCUGGUCAGAGAUGCCUCGGCUCUCAGCUCUGGAGGCUGGAGGUCUGAAAUCAAGAUGUGGGCGGGGUGGGCUUAUUCGGAGGCCCAUCUCCCGGCUGGUAGAGGGCUGUUUUCUCCCUGUGUCCUCACGUGGCCUUCUCUCUGUGCGGGAGCCUGUGCCUGUCUGUGGCCACAUCCCCUCUUCUUAGAGGGACACCCAUCCUAUUGGACCAGGCCCUCUCCCCCCGGCCAAAGACCUCAUUUUCACCCGACUUUCUUCUCUCAAGGCCCCAUCUCCAAAUACAAUCACAUUUCCAAGGUGCUGGGGUUAGGACUUCAACAGAUGAAUUCUGGGGGGGACACAAUUCAGCCCACGGAAGUUGUCUAGUGGCCGGAGCCACCUCCGUGUCCCGGGGACCCGGUGACCUUGUCCUUGUGGAAUCCACGGGCGGGAGAAGCGGAAGAUGCUGUGUCACUAAGGACUUCCUUCCGGUCUCGGGGGAGGGUGGCGCUCGGUUUAAUUCCAUUUGCUUCUUAGUAUUCUCUCUUUCAAUAGAUAAUGUGGGCCCAUGGAACAGAACCCAUAGCGCCCAGGGGUAUGAGAGGAAUGUCCUCCGCCUUCCCACACCACCCCCUUGGGCCCCCUCGGGCCCCUGGCCACGGGGUUGCCCUCCCCAACAGCAAUGCCCACUGUGACCAGUUCUGGGGGCUCUGUCCGAGUCCCCGCCUAACUGCCAUGCAUCCACUUAGAUCCGAGCUGCUCCGCUCCGGCUGCACGCCAACAUGUCCCGGGGACCCCACCUCCAGGAGACCCGUCUCUGGGGGCAGGCCCAGCACUGGUCCAAGAUGCCACCGGCUGACUCCUGAGCAGGCACGACGGAGAAACACAGCUCCGCCUGCCCCUCGACUCACUGGGCACCUCGUAGUCCAUCUGGGGCAGGAAGAGGGCGGAAGGGAAGGUGGCGGCCCCGCCUGGGUACCAGACCCUCUCACACCUGCUCUAGUUUCCUCUUCAUGACCUCCCCUCCAGGUGGCAUCCUUGCUGCCCCUGUUUUACAGGUGAGGGAGGUGACACUCAGAGGGGCCACCCGGCCCUUGAAGGUCCUCCUGCUGGGGAUGGGGAGCAGGGUCCUGGCUGGGGAGGGGUGCCCCUGCAUCAACGUCUUCCUCCCCCGGGCACAGCUAAUAGAAGGCUAGGAACAAAGCGGCUGCCAGGAUGCGGGAUGCAGUGAGACUGAGCUGGCUGAUGGAGAGGAAGGGCUCUGGGAGUCACAUGCUGACAGGGACUCAGGGAGCGCACUGCCCUAAUUGCUUUUCCUUUGAUCAAGUUUUUCCCUCCACCGCCAACUUUGGUUUUGCUGCCCCCCCACCGUUUCUCCUCCACCUGAGAAACAGCUUUCUCUGCUUUCACAGACCUUCAUUCUGGCUACUCUGCCCCGACCCUUCACCCCUUGCCCGCUGGCUCCUGUCACCUUAAUCCUCUGUCAGAUCUUGUUCUUUAGUCUGCUCUCUCCUUGCCUGGGGAGCUCAGGGACUGACUCACUGAUCCCUGACAGGACCGCAGUCUCUCAACCCUGAGCAGCAGGAGAGGAGAUGAGUAGUUUCCCUGAGCUCCAGCCCCAGCCUCUACUAGGCUUUUGUCCCAUCUACCCGUCCACUCAUCCAUUCACCCAUCUGUCCAUUCAUCCAUCCACCCAUCCACCCAUCCACCCACCCACAUACCCAUUCAUCCACCCAUCCACCAGUCCAUCCACCCACCCAUCCAUAUACCUAUCCACUCAUCCACUUGUCCAUCCAUCCAUCCAUCCACCUAUUGAUCCAUCCAUCCAUCCAUCCAUCCAUCCAUCCAUCCAUCCAUCCACCUACUGAUCCAUCCAUCCAUCCAUCCAUCCAUCCAUCCAUCCAUCCAUCCAUCCAUCCAUCCAUCCACCUACUGAUCCAUCCAUCCAUCCAUCCAUCCAUCCAUCCAUCCAUCCAUCCAUCUAUCCACCUAUUGAUCCAUCCAUCCAUCCAUCCAUCCAUCCAUCCAUCCAUCCAUCCAUCCAUCCAUUUACCCAUCCACUCAUCCACUUUCCAUCCAUCUAUCCACCUAUCCAUCUACCUAUCCACCCAUCCAUCCACCCAUCCAUUCCCUGGGAUUCGGCUGCACUUGGAUCACGUUGCUUUGGCCUGUACCUUCCCUCCUUUGUGCAGUCAGGGCACACGGGGUAACCCUCUGGAGCUGUGUGCGUGUUCACGCAUCAGAGGCUCACGGCAGCCUGUGGGGGUGGCGCUACCAUCGUCCCCUAAACUCCGGAGACCCCAGGUGCGGAGCGGUGAGGUGCCUUCCUACAGUCACGGCACCGAGGCAGACCAAGUGUGGUGCGUCCAGCGGGGCCCACGCCAGAGGAGCCAUGGGACAGCGUUGUCCAGAGGUGGCAUGUGGCACCUGCCCCGGGACCGCGCCGAGGACCGCCCCUCCCAUCAGCUCGGCUCUUAGCAGAAGGCACCGGCAGGGACAGAAGUGCCCAUGGACGCCAUUUGUUAAUGAAGGAGUCAGGCGGUGAGGAGGCAGCUGGAGUCACUUUGUGCUUUGAAGAGCCCUAACCAGGCCGGCCUGACUUGGUUGGUCGUGGGCCCUGAAUGAAUGCUGCUGGAGUCGUGUCUUUGCAUCGGAUACUUCAGGUCAAGGCAUUCGGGGAAUGCGCUGGACGCUGGGGCCAGAACUCACUUUACCACUGACAGGCUCUGUGGCGUUGGGAAAACUGUCUAACCUCUCUGAGCUUCAGUUCUCUCAUCUAUCCUUCCUGACAUUAUUCUUGGAGGUGUCAGUCUUUUGUCAUGGAGCUUGCAGUUCAACAAAUCAUUUCAGCCGUUCUUUCUUAAGAGUUCACUUUUGCCGGGCAUUGUCCUCGAUCCCAGGGAGAUGGCAGUGAACAAGAGAGACCUUCCUCUGUCUGAGCCCACUGAAGAGCCACUUUACAGCAAAGGAAACAGAAACAGAGAAGUUAAGAAGCUUGCCCGAGGCCACACAGCUCAUCUGCGGUGGAGACAGGAUUGGAACCUGGGCAUGGAAGUACUAGACUUCUCUUAACCGCUGAGCUAACCACCUCUUCGCGUCCCUCAGAGACUCAAGGCCUUGCGACCCUAAGAAUGUUGACCCUGGCACAGUGAGAGUGGGUUUCUCUAAGGUUCUGCCACCCAAAGCUGACUCUGGGGCACGAUGCUCUGCUCCUUGUGUUCCCAGAGCCCGUGCAGCUGCUCAGUGUGGCCGAGCGUGGGUCCUCUCGGGGUCUGUCUGCGAGUCUGGUUUCUUUAAAAAUGACUGGCUUGUUUUGAUUUCUUUGAUCCUUUGUGUGGAAAUAAAAACCCAAACCCGCAGCCUCCGGCCCCGGCCCUGUCCCCUGCCUGCUGGCCCGUCCCCCAUCCUGCACCUGGUGGCCAGCCGUCUGCUCUGUGUCCUCACAGCUGUCCCUCAGCCGCAGCGUCGUGAGGGACCUGGCCAGGCUCCAGGGCAGCCAGGCCGUGGGUGAGGAGGGGUGCAGCUCGGCAGGUGAGGAAGGGGGUGGGACGGAGAGGCCUGGAAUAAGCAGGUCCAGAAUAAGGCAGGGGAGCUGGGGAGAGUCCCUGGCAGGUCCCCCGGGAGCCUCCUGGGCAGAAGCCUCCUCCACGUGCCUCCCAGGCAGCAGAUGGAGAACAGACGAAUCCAGAAGCUUCUAUGUACCAGCACUGGGCUCCGUCCUUCACAAAUAUUGAUUAUUUUAAUCCACGUGCUGUGUUUCCAGGGCAGCAGAGCUCCAGCCCCCACCCCCCGGCGAGGUAGCCGGGUCCCCACUCAGCCGGGCGGCCCCAUCCGGCUCCUGCAUCUUCAGCCUCCCCCUUCAGACACCCCAGCCUGGGCGUCUGUCUCACUGGCAUCUCCAGCUCGGCUUGUGUACGCCUGGGCCCCUGCUUUGCACUCUGCAUCCACAUCACGCUGAAUCCGUGUUCAGGCCAACCCGUCUGCAGACUCGGCAGCCGCAGGCUUCCCACCCUUAAGGAGACUCUUUUUUCAAGUGUUGAGGUUAAAAGUAAAACUUUAAUGGAAAGCAUCGCCGAGCUAGCGACCUGGUGAUAUUGUCAUAUUAUUAUUUUUCUCUGUUAAUGACUACUUGAGGUGAAACUGUAAUCAUGUGGUGGUCCAUAAAGUCCUUUAAAAUAAUAAAGCGCUCUAAAACUGGAAACUUCUGGAAACAGCUCACCACACCACUCCAGGUUCAUUCGUUCAGUAACUGUUUAUCGGUCCAUGUACAAGCUUUGGGGCCAGUGGUGAGCUGGUGAGCAAACCGGCUCAGCCUUGCC
This is a long non-coding RNA of Mirounga angustirostris (Northern elephant seal), 4410 nucleotides long. RefSeq lists it as uncharacterized. The record is from RefSeq and is a predicted model, not a curated record. Lineage: Eukaryota; Metazoa; Chordata; Mammalia; Carnivora; Phocidae. The transcript has 3 exons.